UUAAAUAAUUUGGAUUACUUGAAAGUUCAAAUGACAAUGAUUCUUGAACAAAUGAUGAUUAUAGAUCAACCUGCUCCAAAUCAACCUAAUAGUUUGGCAUGGAAUCACAAUAACAAUAUGGUUGCUUCUUGGAUCUUGAAUGUGAUUCCAAAGGAUAUGCAAUCUACAAUUCUAUCACAAAGGAAUUUUGGAAUGGUUUUCAAGAACGCUUUGAAUAACCUAAUGGCCCCUUCAUCUUUCAACUCAAACUUGAAUUGGCAACCCUACAACAAAGUUCUAUAUUCGUUACUACCUAUUACGCCAAGGUUCUCCAUUUAUUCCUUUUGUUGAUCCUUUGCAUUUGUUUGCUUGUAAGAAUUCUUGUGCAAACAAAUCCAAGGGUAGCAAGAAAGAUUGCCCCUUUUGUAUUCAUAUUGGUUUUCCUGGUCACACUUAAGAUCGUUGUUAUAAGAUCCAUGGUUAUUUGCCUAAUUACAAGAUGAAUUCCUCCAAACUUACAGAACCUAUUACUGCAAAUUAAGUGUUUGAUGAUGCUCAUGUUCAAUUGACAGCACAAUAGUGUGGCCAAUUAUUUACACUUAUACCAAGCAACACCCCUAUGGUUAAUUCCACAAAUGCUUCCACCUCCAAUGUUUGUGAUUCAGGAGAUGCAUGGUACACUUCAAGAAGAUUGGCAAAGGUAGUCUCAUUAAGGGCCUCUAUUUUUUAUCCUCCCAAGACCUGAUUUCAGACCAUAUUCGUCAAAAAUGCAGUGGUAAUAUAGUGUUUACUUCAAAGAGUUUUUAGCUCUGUGAAAGCUUCAAGUCAGACACUACCCGACAUCAAACAAUGCUAGCCAUGAAUGGAGACAAGCUAUGAGUGAAGAAAUCAAAGCCUUGGAGGCCAACAAUACUUGGUCUCUUGUUUCACUUCCACAUGGUAAGCAUUGUAUUGACAGUGUGGAUCGUCAUAAAGCUUGUUUGGUAGCCAAGGGUUAUACUUAAUAGGAUGGUAUUGACUUCUUAUAUACCUUUUCCCUUGUUUCCAAGCUCACUUUUGUUCGUAUUUUACUCAUAGUGGCAACAACAAAGAAAUGGCAUUUGUUGCAAUUAGAUGUGAAUAAUGUGUUCCUUAAUGGUGAACUUUUUGAAGAGGCUUACAUUACUCCUCCUCUGGGUUAUCAUUCGACUAAAAAGGGUUUAGUUUGCAAGUUGAACAAAUCCUUGUAUGACCUUGUUUUACAUGUUCUCCACCACCUUGCUUGUUUAUGGUUUUGCUCAGUCUAGAAACAACUAUUCCUUGUUUACUUCUGGUUCAGGUCCCUCUCUGACCAUUCUACUUGUUUACGCAGAUGAUAUUGUGUUGGCAGGGCCAAAUUCCACCAAAUAAAUUGUUGAGACUCAAGCCCUCCUUCAAUCAUUGUUGAAAUUAAAAAUUCUUUGUAACUUGAAGUAUUUUCUAGGAUUGAAAAUUGCUAAGUCAAACAACGACAUAUCACUUUCUCAUUGUAAAUAUUCUCUCAAUCUGCUUGAGGAUAUUGUUUUUUUGGGCUACAAACCUAUCUCACUCCCAAUGGAUCCCAAUGCUAUACUUUCAGUCAAUGAAGGUGAUCCUCCUACUCAUGUUUUCAUGCAUGUGAUAUACGUUGAAGAUAAAAACAAAAAACAAAAAAAACUACUUUGUAGGGCCUUUGAGAUAAUUGUGUGACAUUAAUGACAUUAAUUGCAUGGAGAAUUGUACCCAAAGUUUUGGGUGACAGUUUAUUUUCGAGGGAGAAAGUGAACAUUCUUUAUCGGAAAUUCUUGAACAAUAUUAUUUGGAUGUAUGCAUUUAAAGACUUGGACGACACUUUUUUUUUCGAGGCAGAUGGAUAAAUUGUAUUUUUGGAAUAAGUGGAAUGUAAUAAAUGUUUUUAGAUUAAUGUGCAUUUGUACAUGUAUUUUUCGAAAUGAAUAAAUUAAAUUGUAAUUAUGGAAUAGGUAGAAUGUAAUAAAUAAAAAAUUAGUUAAAUGUGCAUUUAUUUUGAUUGAAUGGUUUA
Non-coding RNA from Cicer arietinum (chickpea), 2017 nucleotides. NCBI's taxonomy places the organism in Eukaryota, Viridiplantae, Streptophyta, Magnoliopsida, Fabales, Fabaceae. The record is from RefSeq and is a predicted model, not a curated record.